Molecule: ribosomal RNA, 404 nt
Filed under: uncultured organism
Description: bacterial SSU rRNA
Rfam family: Bacterial small subunit ribosomal RNA
Source: RNAcentral
GACUGAAGUCCUUGAAGCCGCAAGGCAGAUAGGAUGGAUGACUGGGUGUCUAGCGGCAAACGGGUGAGUAACGCGUGGGUAAUCUGCCCUUGAGUGGGGGAUAACAACCCGAAAGGGUUGCUAAUACCGCAUAAGCCCACAGCUUCGAAAGGAGCAGUGGGAGAAGCCGGGGACCGUAAGGCCUGGCGCUUAAGGAUGAGCCCGCGUCCCAUCAGCUAGUUGGUAGGGUAAUGGCCUACCAAGGCGAUGACGGGUAGCUGGCUUGAGAGGGUGGUCAGCCACACUGGGACUGAGACACUGCCCAGACUCCUACGGGAGGCUGCAGUCGAGGAUAUUUUCCAAUGGGCGAAAGCCUGAGAAUGCGACGCCGCGUGCGGGAUGAAGGCCUUCGGGUCGUAAACCGC